CUUCUCCAGUUGGGGUUUGUUCCCUCUCGCGCCGACGCCUCUCUGUUUUUCUUCCGCCAUCAGGAUGUUCAGAUAUACAUGCUUGUCUACGUGGAUGAUAUUGUUAUUGCUGGCUCUUCUCCACGUGCAGUUGACGGUCUUGUUCAUUCACUUGCGGCCACCUUUUCUAUUAAGGACCUUGGGCCGCUGGAGUACUUUCUUGGCUUGGAAGCGUCGUACAAUUCAGGGGGUAUGACCUUGACACAACGGAAGUAUGCCUUGGAUCUUUUACAUCGUGUGAACAUGGAGAAUUGUAAGUCCACUUCCACACUGUUGUCUACCUCCGACCAGCUUGCACGGGUGUCUGGACAGCCUCUCGGUGCCGAUGAUUCUUUCCGGUAUCGUAGUGUCGUUGGUGGAUUGCAGUAUUUGACUCUCACUCGCCCAGACAUUUCAUUUGCAGUGAACAAGGUAUGCCAGUUUCUCUCACAGCCCACUGAUGUUCAUUGGGAA
This 492-nucleotide ribosomal RNA is filed under the name Triticum aestivum (bread wheat). RNAcentral's name for it is "partial small subunit ribosomal RNA". The record is from RNAcentral. Lineage: Eukaryota; Viridiplantae; Streptophyta; Magnoliopsida; Poales; Poaceae.